RNAcentral lists this ribosomal RNA (351 nucleotides) under Triticum aestivum (bread wheat). Its description in RNAcentral is "partial small subunit ribosomal RNA". Lineage: Eukaryota; Viridiplantae; Streptophyta; Magnoliopsida; Poales; Poaceae. The record is from RNAcentral.
AUGACGCCAUCUGGUAUCAGGUUUGAGGUGGAGAAGUUCAACGUAACUGGAAGCUUUGGGUUAUGGCAGACAAGGGUGAAAGAUUUGUUGGCACAACAGGGAUGCUUGAAGGCAUUGUUGCAGGAAGCCAAGCCAGCUAAGAUGGAGGCGGAUGACUGGGAGGAGUUACAGUUGAAAGCAGCCGGGACUAUACGGUUGUGUCUGUCAGACCAGGUUAUUUAUCAUGUGAUGGAUGAGAAUUCGCCGAAGAAGAUCUGGGAGAAGCUGGAAAGUCAGUUUAUGUCCAAGACUGCGACGACCAAGGUGUAUCUGAAGCAAAAGUUGUAUGGGAUGAGGAUGCACGAGGGGUAA